This is a non-coding RNA of Chiloscyllium plagiosum (whitespotted bambooshark), 477 nucleotides long. The record is from RefSeq and is a predicted model, not a curated record. NCBI's taxonomy places the organism in Eukaryota, Metazoa, Chordata, Chondrichthyes, Orectolobiformes, Hemiscylliidae.
UUUCUGGCAUCUUUCUUUACUAAAGACCGUACAUUCAAGAAAAAUACAGCUUUGCACCAUGCAGUGGGUAGCAGUGUACGUGCUCCACAAGAUGGAACGCAGUAACUUGCCAAAACUCCUUCGACAAAACCUUUCAUACAUUACCAUCUCGAAGGAUAAGGGCAGCAGAUGACUAGGAAUACCACAAGCUGUUUGAGAGGACACGUUCGGAUGAAAAAGGAGCAAGGUGCUGCAGAUGCUAAUCUAUAUUAGGGCCUUAUUGCAAAUGGAUGGAAAUACACUGUGAACAAAUUCAUUUUAUGGCCUUGUCAGAUUCCAUUGUGUGGAUGACUUAAUUGCAAUGUGGGGGCAUGCUUGAAGGUCUACAGGGCGGACAAUCUGCAGGUCACUCCUCUUCCAUUUGUCAUCUGGCCACGAGAGCUAGCAUUAUAUUUUGUUUUAAAUGAAGCUGGCCAGUGGCAGGUGACAUGCAUUUUG